RNAcentral lists this transfer-messenger RNA (377 nucleotides) under Ilumatobacteraceae. RNAcentral describes it as "BACL27 sp016870935 Standard tmRNA". It matches the Rfam family "transfer-messenger RNA". Rfam says of the family: Bacterial tmRNA, also known as 10Sa RNA or SsrA, is named for its dual tRNA and mRNA-like properties. Its role is to liberate the mRNA from a stalled ribosome. RNAcentral also lists the same sequence under 1 other name. The record is from RNAcentral. Lineage: Bacteria; Bacillati; Actinomycetota; Acidimicrobiia; Acidimicrobiales.
GGGGCUGACAGGUUUCGACGUCAGAUUCGAUGUUCGAGCGUGCGACUCGAGUUGCUCAGACUCGUAAAACGGGGCAAAAAAAUAACUGCCAAAAAGCAGUUCGCUCUCGCCGCCUAAUUAAGCGGUAAGAGAGCAACCGUGAACCGCAAGGUCGCACGGGGCCAAUUCACCGCAGCCCGGCAACAGAAGCGGGGAAUGACAGCGAGAAAGAACGCUGACGUCGAGAAAGACCGAUGACAGCACGGAAAGUCGUGCCGCGGCCUCGUAAGAGACAGUCGACCCGCCGACGGUGUUGCGUCAGCACCACUGCGGGAAUAGUCGUAUCACGGGCGAUCACCGGCUGAUGGACGGGGGUUCGAUUCCCCCCAGCUCCACCA